Molecule: non-coding RNA, 73 nt
Filed under: Schistosoma mansoni
Lineage: Eukaryota; Metazoa; Platyhelminthes; Trematoda; Strigeidida; Schistosomatidae
Source: RNAcentral
ACAACAACUCUGCCUGUAGCUCUUUUUUUUGAGUUACUGCCGGUCUCAAGCCCGGGUAAAGGAAGAGGGUUGA